This 435-nucleotide ribosomal RNA is filed under the name uncultured bacterium. Its description in RNAcentral is "partial 16S ribosomal RNA". It matches the Rfam family "Bacterial small subunit ribosomal RNA", at positions 28 to 507 of the family's 1533-position model. The record is from RNAcentral.
GACGAACGCUGGCGGCAUGCCUAACACAUGCAAGUCGAACGAUUGCGCUCGGUUGUUAGUGGCGCACGGGUGCGUAACGCGGGGGAAUCUGCGCGUAGGUUCGGAAUCAGAGCUGGAAACGGCUGCUAUUACCGGGUGAUAUCGCAAGAUCAAAGAUCUAUCGCCUGAGGAUGAGUGCGCGUGGGAUUCGGUAGUUGGAGGGGUAAAGGCCUACCCAGCCGACGAUCCAGAGCUGGGCUGAGCGGAUGAUCAACCACACUGGGGCUGAGACACGGCCCAGACUCCUAGGGGAGGCAGGAGUGGGGAAUAUUGGACGAUGGGCGCAAGACUGAUGCAGCAAGGCCGCGUGAGUGAUGAAGGCGCGAGGAUUGUAAAGCUGUUUUAACCGGGAAGAUAGUGACGGUACCGGGAGAAUAAGCCCCGGCUAACUACGUG